Molecule: ribosomal RNA, 253 nt
Filed under: uncultured bacterium
Lineage: Bacteria
Description: partial 16S ribosomal RNA
Rfam family: Bacterial small subunit ribosomal RNA
Source: RNAcentral
GACGUAGGGCGCGAGCGUUGUCCGGAUUUAUUGGGCGUAAAGAGCUCGUAGGCGGCUUGUCGCGUCGUCCGUGAAAACUUGGGGCUCAACCCCAAGCUUGCGGUCGAUACGGGCAGGCUAGAGUUCGGUAGGGGAGACUGGAAUUCCUGGUGUAGCGGUGAAAUGCGCAGAUAUCAGGAGGAACACCAAUGGCGAAGGCAGCUCGCUGGGACGGUACUGACGCUGAGACGCGAAAGCGUGGGGAGCAAACAGG